GGAGAAGGGGACGACCAAAGAAGGCAACAAGACAUCGCUCAAAGGAAGCUGGAUGAGGAGAAGCAAAUAUUUCCCGGAUUAAAAAUCCGUAGUUGAACAGUGUGAAGAUACAUGAGGUGGUUAUAUGCUUUAAGGUCAUAAGAACGCGAAUGAUAUGUGCGCCGCCCCGCUCCCCCACCCCAACCCCCCCUUCUUUUACUGUCUUUCAGUGCAUUGUCAUUCUUUAUGGUCCCAUUGUCUCAGACAAAAUAAAUAUGGUAUCCUGACCUGGAUGAGCAGUGCACUGCUGUAAUAGAAGUUGAAUAAAAAACAAUAAAUAGGUUUCGAUCUUUA
RNAcentral lists this unclassified non-coding RNA (333 nucleotides) under Hevea brasiliensis (rubber tree). The record is from RNAcentral. Lineage: Eukaryota; Viridiplantae; Streptophyta; Magnoliopsida; Malpighiales; Euphorbiaceae.